This 253-nucleotide ribosomal RNA is filed under the name uncultured bacterium. RNAcentral describes it as "partial 16S ribosomal RNA". It matches the Rfam family "Bacterial small subunit ribosomal RNA", at positions 524 to 776 of the family's 1533-position model. The record is from RNAcentral.
UACGGAGGGGGCUAGCGUUGUUCGGAAUUACUGGGCGUAAAGCGCACGUAGGCGGCUGUUCAAGUCAGAGGUGAAAGCCCGGAGCUCAACUUCGGAAUUGCCUUUGAAACUAGACAGCUUGAACGUCGGAGAGGUGAGUGGAAUUCCGAGUGUAGAGGUGAAAUUCGUAGAUAUUCGGAAGAACACCAGUGGCGAAGGCGGCUCACUGGACGACUGUUGACGCUGAGGUGCGAAAGCGUGGGGAGCAAACAGG